RNAcentral lists this transfer RNA (75 nucleotides) under Chitinimonas viridis. RNAcentral describes it as "tRNA-Val". It matches the Rfam family "tRNA". Rfam says of the family: Transfer RNA (tRNA) molecules are approximately 80 nucleotides in length. Their secondary structure includes four short double-helical elements and three loops (D, anti-codon, and T loops). RNAcentral also lists the same sequence under 16 other names. Lineage: Bacteria; Pseudomonadati; Pseudomonadota; Betaproteobacteria; Neisseriales; Chitinibacteraceae. The record is from RNAcentral.
GGGCGGUUAGCUCAGGGGUAGAGCACUGCCUUCACACGGCAGGGGUCACUGGUUCGAUCCCAGUAUCGCCCACCA